GACGAACGCUGGCGGCGUGCUUAACACAUGCAAGUCGAACGGAAAGGCCCUGCUUUUGUGGGGUGCUCGAGUGGCGAACGGGUGAGUAACACGUGUGUAACCUGCCCUUUACUUUGGGAUAACUUCAGGAAACUGGGUCUAAUACCGGAUAGGAGCUCCUGCUGCAUGGUGGGGGUUGGAAAGUUUCGGCGGUUGGGGAUGGACUCGCGGCUUAUCAGCUUGUUGGUGGGGUAGUGGCUUACCAAGGCUUUGACGGGUAGCCGGCCUGAGAGGGUGACCGGACACAAUGGGACUGAGAGACGGCCCAGACUCCAACGGGAGGCAGCAGUGGGGAAUAUUGCACAAUGGGCGGAAGCCAGAUGCAGCAACGCCGCGUGCGGGAUGACGGCCUUCGGGUUGUAAACCGCUUUCGCAUGUGACGAAGCGUGAGUGACGGUAAUGGGUAAAGAAGCACCGGCUAACUACGUG
This 468-nucleotide ribosomal RNA is filed under the name uncultured bacterium. RNAcentral describes it as "partial 16S ribosomal RNA". It matches the Rfam family "Bacterial small subunit ribosomal RNA", at positions 28 to 507 of the family's 1533-position model. The record is from RNAcentral.